This 385-nucleotide ribosomal RNA is filed under the name uncultured bacterium. RNAcentral's name for it is "bacterial SSU rRNA". It matches the Rfam family "Bacterial small subunit ribosomal RNA", at positions 350 to 751 of the family's 1533-position model. The record is from RNAcentral.
AGAAGUGGGGAAUUUUCCACAAUGGGCGAAAGUCUGAAGGAGCAAUGACGCCUGGACGUAGAAGGCCCACGGGUCGUAAAUUCCUUUUCUCAAACAAAAACACUGAUGGUAUCUGAAGAAUACCCCUCGCCUAACUCUGUGCCAGCAGCCGCGGCAAAACAGAGGAUGCCCGCGUUAUCCGGAAUGAUUGGGCGUAGAGGGUCUGAACGUGACUUUUUAACUCCGCCCUUAACCCCCAAGAAUCCACCCUGGAAAAGGUCGUGGAAACUACCCAGCUGCACCCCGGUAAGAGCAGAGCGACUUUCCCCGUGAAAGCGGUGAAUGCGUUCAGAUUGGGAGAGAACGCCAUUGCCAGGCACUCUGCUAGCCCAAACUGACACUGAGA